GAUGAACGCUGGCGGCGUGCCUAAUACAUGCAAGUCGAGCGAACGGACGAGAAGCUUGCUUCUCUGAUGUUAGCGGCGGACGGGUGAGUAACACGUGGAUAACCUACCUAUAAGACUGGGAUAACUUCGGGAAACCGGAGCUAAUACCGGAUAAUAUUUUGAACCGCAUGGUUCAAAAGUGAAAGACGGUCUUGCUGUCACUUAUAGAUGGAUCCGCGCUGCAUUAGCUAGUUGGUAAGGUAACGGCUUACCAAGGCAACGAUGCAUAGCCGACCUGAGAGGGUGAUCGGCCACACUGGAACUGAGACACGGUCCAGACUCCUACGUGAGGCAGCAGUAGGGAAUCUUCCGCAAUGGGCGAAAGCCUGACGGAGCAACGCCGCGUGAGUGAUGAAGGUCUUCGGAUCGUAAAACUCUGUUAUUAGGGAAGAACAUAUGUGUAAGUAACUGUGCACAUCUUGACGGUACCUAAUCAGAAAGCCACGGCUAACUACGUGCCAGCAGCCGCGGUAAUACGUAGGUGGCAAGCGUUAUCCGGAAUUAUUGGGCGUAAAGCGCGCGUAGGCGGUUUUUUAAGUCUGAUGUGAAAGCCCACGGCUCAACCGUGGAGGGUCAUUGGAAACUGGAAAACUUGAGUGCAGAAGAGGAAAGUGGAAUUCCAUGUGUAGCGGUGAAAUGCGCAGAGAUAUGGAGGAACACCAGUGGCGAAGGCGACUUUCUGGUCUGUAACUGACGCUGAUGUGCGAAAGCGUGGGGAUCAAACAGGAUUAGAUACCCUGGUAGUCCACGCCGUAAACGAUGAGUGCUAAGUGUUAGGGGGUUUCCGCCCCUUAGUGCUGCAGCUAACGCAUUAAGCACUCCGCCUGGGGAGUACGACCGCAAGGUUGAAACUCAAAGGAAUUGACGGGGACCCGCACAAGCGGUGGAGCAUGUGGUUUAAUUCGAAGCAACGCGAAGAACCUUACCAAAUCUUGACAUCCUUUGACAACUCUAGAGAUAGAGCCUUCCCCUUCGGGGGACAAAGUGACAGGUGGUGCAUGGUUGUCGUCAGCUCGUGUCGUGAGAUGUUGGGUUAAGUCCCGCAACGAGCGCAACCCUUAAGCUUAGUUGCCAUCAUUAAGUUGGGCACUCUAAGUUGACUGCCGGUGACAAACCGGAGGAAGGUGGGGAUGACGUCAAAUCAUCAUGCCCCUUAUGAUUUGGGCUACACACGUGCUACAAUGGACAAUACAAAGGGCAGCGAAACCGCGAGGUCAAGCAAAUCCCAUAAAGUUGUUCUCAGUUCGGAUUGUAGUCUGCAACUCGACUACAUGAAGCUGGAAUCGCUAGUAAUCGUAGAUCAGCAUGCUACGGUGAAUACGUUCCCGGGUCU
This 1372-nucleotide ribosomal RNA is filed under the name uncultured bacterium. Its description in RNAcentral is "bacterial SSU rRNA". It matches the Rfam family "Bacterial small subunit ribosomal RNA", at positions 28 to 1381 of the family's 1533-position model. The record is from RNAcentral.